CACUAUGCACAGCCCUAAACUUUGAUAGAAUUCUACACCCACUAUCCGCCAGGGUACUACGAGCUCUAGCUUAAAAUCCAAAGGACUUGGCGGUGCUUUAGACCCACCUAGAGGAGCCUGUUCUAGAACCGACAACCCCCGUUCAACCUCACCCUCCCUUGUUUAUCCCGCCUAUAUACCGCCGUCGUCAGCUUACCCCAUGAAGGAUUCAUAGUAAGCAAAACCAGUACAACUCAAAACGCCAGGUCGAGGUGUAGCGCAUGAGAGGGAAAGAAAUGGGCUACAUUCCCUUACCAAGGGUAUACGGAAAAUACAGUGAAAAAUGUGUUAGAAGGAGGAUUUAGCAGUAAGUAGAAAAUAGAGUGUUCUACUGAAACUGGCCCUGAAGCGCGCACACACCGCCCGUCACUCUCCCCAAGACAUUAAAACCAAAUAACUAAUCAACUAAACAAACAAAGGGGAGGCAAGUCGUAA
Molecule: ribosomal RNA, 474 nt
Filed under: Strongylura incisa (reef needlefish)
Lineage: Eukaryota; Metazoa; Chordata; Actinopteri; Beloniformes; Belonidae
Description: partial small subunit ribosomal RNA
Rfam family: Bacterial small subunit ribosomal RNA
Source: RNAcentral